Molecule: ribosomal RNA, 253 nt
Filed under: uncultured bacterium
Lineage: Bacteria
Description: partial 16S ribosomal RNA
Rfam family: Bacterial small subunit ribosomal RNA
Source: RNAcentral
UACGUAGGCAGCAAGCGUUGUUCGGAGGUACUGGGCGUAAAGGGUGUGUAGGCGGUCCUCUAAGUUUGGUGUGAAAUCUCCCGGCUCAACUGGGAGGGUGCGCCGAAAACUGGAGGGCUAGAGUACUGGAUGGGAGAGUGGAAUUCCUGGUGUAGCGGUGAAAUGCGUAGAUAUCAGGAGGAACACCUGUGGUGUAGACGGCUCUCUGGACAGUAACUGACGCUGAGACACGAAAGCGUGGGUAGCAAACAGG